UGGGCUCCGCACCUCGCUCACAGAUCUGCAUCGGAAUGUAGAAAAGAUCUUUUUUAAAAAAAAGUUUUGAAUUCCUCAAUGAUUUUUCUUCUGGAAAGGCAGCUUAGGAUAAUUAUGUCAGCUUUAUUGAGGGCAGAUUAGUUGAGGUCUGGACGCUGCGUUUCAAUGCACGUUGUACACGGGCCGACAAUGUGG
This is a non-coding RNA of Myotis davidii, 195 nucleotides long. The record is from Rfam. Lineage: Eukaryota; Metazoa; Chordata; Mammalia; Chiroptera; Vespertilionidae.